GACGAACGCUAGCGGGAGGCCUAACACAUGCAAGCCGAGCGGUAUGGAUAGCUUGCUAUCCAGAGAGCGGCGUACGGGUGCGUAACACGUGUGCAACCUACCUUUAUCUGGGGGAUAGCCUUUCGAAAGGAAGAUUAAUACCCCAUAAUAUAAUGAUUGGCAUCAAUUAUUAUUGAAAACUCCGGUGGAUAGAGAUGGGCACGCGCAAGAUUAGAUAGUUGGUGAGGUAACGGCUCACCAAGUCAAUGAUCUUUAGGGGUCCUGAGAGGGAGAUCCCCCACACUGGUACUGAGACACGGACCAGACUCCUACGGGAGGCAGCAGUGAGGAAUAUUGGACAAUGGGUGAGAGCCUGAUCCAGCCAUCCCGCGUGAAGGAUGACGGUCCUAUGGAUUGUAAACUUCUUUUGUACAGGGAUAAACCUACCCUCGUGAGGGUAGCUGAAGGUACUGUACGAAUAAGCACCGGCUAACUCCGUG
This 479-nucleotide ribosomal RNA is filed under the name uncultured bacterium. RNAcentral's name for it is "partial 16S ribosomal RNA". It matches the Rfam family "Bacterial small subunit ribosomal RNA", at positions 28 to 507 of the family's 1533-position model. The record is from RNAcentral.